GACGUAGGGCGCAAGCGUUGUCCGGAAUUAUUGGGCGUAAAGAGCUCGUAGGCGGCUUGUUGCGUCUGCCGUGAAAUCUGAGGGCUUAACCCUCAGCUUGCGGUGGAUACGGGCAGGCUAGAGGCAGGCAGGGGAGAAUGGAAUUCCCGGUGUAGCGGUGAAAUGCGCAGAUAUCGGGAGGAACACCGGUGGCGAAGGCGGUUCUCUGGGCCUGUACUGACGCUGAGGAGCGAAAGCGUGGGGAGCGAACAGG
This 253-nucleotide ribosomal RNA is filed under the name uncultured bacterium. Its description in RNAcentral is "partial 16S ribosomal RNA". It matches the Rfam family "Bacterial small subunit ribosomal RNA", at positions 524 to 776 of the family's 1533-position model. The record is from RNAcentral.